This 178-nucleotide ribosomal RNA is filed under the name uncultured bacterium. RNAcentral's name for it is "partial 16S ribosomal RNA". The record is from RNAcentral.
ACUCCUACGGGAGGCAGCCGUAGGGAAUUUUUCGCACAUGGGCGAAAGUCUGAUCCAGCACCUGCCGCGUGAGUGAAGAAGGCUCUCUGGGUUGUAAAAGCUCUGUUAUUCGGGGAGGAGCAAGUCCUAGUUUAAUAAUGCUGGCAUCCUGANCGUUCUAGCGAUANACAGUCCUCGG